RNAcentral lists this ribosomal RNA (714 nucleotides) under uncultured bacterium. RNAcentral's name for it is "bacterial SSU rRNA". It matches the Rfam family "Bacterial small subunit ribosomal RNA", at positions 104 to 805 of the family's 1533-position model. The record is from RNAcentral.
GGGUGAGUAACACGUGGGUAACCUGCCCAAGAGACUGGGAUAACCCCUGGAAACAGAUGCUAAUACCGGAUAACAACACUAGACGCAUGUCUAGAGUUUGAAAGAUGGUUCUGCUAUCACUCUUGGAUGGACCUGCGGUGCAUUAGCUAGUUGGUAAGGUAACGGCUUACCAAGGCAAUGAUGCAUAGCCGAGUUGAGAGACUGAUCGGCCACAUUGGGACUGAGACACGGCCCAAACUCCUACGGGAGGCAGCAGUAGGGAAUCUUCCACAAUGGACGAAAGUCUGAUGGAGCAACGCCGCGUGAGUGAAGAAGGGUUUCGGCUCGUAAAGCUCUGUUGGUAGUGAAGAAAGAUAGAGGUAGUAACUGGCCUUUAUUUGACGGUAAUUACUUAGAAAGUCACGGCUAACUACGCGCCAGCAGCCGCGGUAAUACGUAGGUGGCAAGCGUUGUCCGGAUUUAUUGGGCGUAAAGCGAGUGCAGGCGGUUCAAUAAGUCUGAUGUGAAAGCCUUCGGCUCAACCGGAGAAUUGCAUCAGAAACUGUUGAACUUGAGUGCAGAAGAGGAGAGUGGAACUCCAUGUGUAGCGGUGGAAUGCGUAGAUAUAUGGAAGAACACCAGUGGCGAAGGCGGCUCUCUGGUCUGCAACUGACGCUGAGGCUCGAAAGCAUGGGUAGCGAACAGGAUUAGAUACCCUGGUAGCCCAUGCCGUAA